This 27-nucleotide unclassified non-coding RNA is filed under the name Mus musculus (house mouse). RNAcentral's name for it is "oocyte_clustered_small_RNA4571". Lineage: Eukaryota; Metazoa; Chordata; Mammalia; Rodentia; Muridae. The record is from RNAcentral.
UGAUCCACUUUCAGAGCUCGAUGAGAU